GAAAGGNCAAGAGAGACAAGGNCCUCCUUAAACCUAAGCGCCUUCUAGCCCAACAGAUGACACUCUCUCAAUCUGAUACGCUAUAACCACACCGCCCCUAGACCAGGGCUC
Molecule: ribosomal RNA, 111 nt
Filed under: Phyllostomus hastatus (greater spear-nosed bat)
Lineage: Eukaryota; Metazoa; Chordata; Mammalia; Chiroptera; Phyllostomidae
Description: partial 16S ribosomal RNA
Source: RNAcentral